Molecule: ribosomal RNA, 425 nt
Filed under: uncultured bacterium
Lineage: Bacteria
Description: bacterial SSU rRNA
Rfam family: Bacterial small subunit ribosomal RNA
Source: RNAcentral
GUGGGGAAUAUUGGACAAUGGGCGCAAGCCUGAUCCAGCCAUGCCGCGUGAGUGAUGAAGGCCUUAGGGUUGUAAAGCUCUUUCAGUGGGGACGAUAAUGACGGUACCCACAGAAGAAGCCCCGGCUAACUUCGUGCCAGCAGCCGCGGUAAUACGAAGGGGGCUAGCGUUGUUCGGAUUUACUGGGCGUAAAGCGCACGUAGGCGGAUCGUUAAGUCGGGGGUGAAAUCCUGUAGCUCAACUCCAGAACUGCCUUCGAUACUGGCGAUCUUGAGUCCGGAAGAGGUGAGUGGAACUCCUAGUGUAGAGGUGGAAUUCGUAGAUAUUAGGAAGAACACCAGUGGCGAAGGCGGCUCACUGGUCCGGUACUGACGCUGAGGUGCGAAAGCGUGGGGAGCAAACAGGAUUAGAAACCCGGGUAGUCC